RNAcentral lists this ribosomal RNA (254 nucleotides) under uncultured bacterium. RNAcentral describes it as "partial 16S ribosomal RNA". It matches the Rfam family "Bacterial small subunit ribosomal RNA", at positions 524 to 776 of the family's 1533-position model. The record is from RNAcentral.
UACGUAGGGUGCAAGCGUUGUCCGGAAUUAUUGGGCGUAAAGAGCUCGUAGGCGGUUUGUCGCGUCGGCCGUGAAAUCUCCACGCUUAACGUGGAGCGUGCGGUCGAUACGGGCAGACUUGAGUUCGGUAGGGGGAGACUGGAAUUCCUGGUGUAGCGGUGAAAUGCGCAGAUAUCAGGAGGAACACCGGUGGCGAAGGCGGGUCUCUGGGCCGAUACUGACGCUGAGGAGCGAAAGCGUGGGGAGCGAACAGG